This 507-nucleotide ribosomal RNA is filed under the name Flectobacillus sp. Td. Its description in RNAcentral is "bacterial SSU rRNA". It matches the Rfam family "Bacterial small subunit ribosomal RNA", at positions 1 to 522 of the family's 1533-position model. Lineage: Bacteria; Pseudomonadati; Bacteroidota; Cytophagia; Cytophagales; Flectobacillaceae. The record is from RNAcentral.
UGGAGAGUUUGAUCCUGGCUCAGGAUGAACGCUAGCGGCAGGCCUAAUACAUGCAAGUCGAACGGUGUAGCAAUACACAGUGGCGCACGGGUGCGUAACACGUAUGCAACCUACCUAUCAUUGGGGGAUAGCCUUUGGAAACGGAGAUUAAUACCGCAUAAGACAGUAACAUGGCAUCAUGUAGCUGUUAAAGCUUCGGCGAUGAUAGAUGGGCAUGCGUCCAAUUAGUUAGUUGGUGAGGUAAUGGCUCACCAAGACGAUGAUUGGUAGGGGAUCUGAGAGGAUAAUCCCCCACACUGGCACUGAGAUACGGGCCAGACUCCUACGGGAGGCAGCAGUAGGGAAUAUUGGGCAAUGGACGGAAGUCUGACCCAGCCAUGCCGCGUGCAGGAUGAAGGCGUUAUGCGUUGUAAACUGCUUUUUUAUAGGAAGAAGGAGACCUUGCGAGGUUUGGUGACGGUACUAUAAGAAUAAGCACCGGCUAACUCCGUGCCAGCAGCCGCGGUA